UACGAAGGGGGCUAGCGUUGCUCGGAAUCACUGGGCGUAAAGGGUGCGUAGGCGGGUCUUUUAAGUCAGGGGUGAAAUCCUGGAGCUCAACUCCAGAACUGCCUUUGAUACUGAGGAUCUUGAGUACGGGAGAGGUGAGUGGAACUGCGAGUGUAGAGGUGAAAUUCGUAGAUAUUCGCAAGAACACCAGUGGCGAAGGCGGCUCACUGGCCCGUUACUGACGCUGAGGCACGAAAGCGUGGGGAGCAAACAGGG
RNAcentral lists this ribosomal RNA (255 nucleotides) under uncultured bacterium. RNAcentral describes it as "partial 16S ribosomal RNA". It matches the Rfam family "Bacterial small subunit ribosomal RNA", at positions 524 to 777 of the family's 1533-position model. The record is from RNAcentral.